UACGUAGGGGGCAAGCGUUGUCCGGAUUUAUUGGGCGUAAAGAGCGUGUAGGCGGCUUUACAGGUCCGUUGUGAAGACUCGAGGCUUAACCUCGAGAUGUCGGCGGAAACCAUCUGGCUAGAGUCCGGAAGAGGAGAAUGGAAUUCCCGGUGUAGCGGUGAAAUGCGCAGAUAUCGGGAAGAACACCCGUGGCGAAGGCGGUUCUCUGGGACGGUACUGACGCUGAGACGCGAAAGCGUGGGGAGCGAACAGG
RNAcentral lists this ribosomal RNA (253 nucleotides) under uncultured bacterium. RNAcentral describes it as "partial 16S ribosomal RNA". It matches the Rfam family "Bacterial small subunit ribosomal RNA", at positions 524 to 776 of the family's 1533-position model. The record is from RNAcentral.